This 253-nucleotide ribosomal RNA is filed under the name uncultured bacterium. RNAcentral's name for it is "partial 16S ribosomal RNA". It matches the Rfam family "Bacterial small subunit ribosomal RNA", at positions 524 to 776 of the family's 1533-position model. The record is from RNAcentral.
UACAGAGGGUGCAAGCGUUAAUCGGAAUUACUGGGCGUAAAGGGUGCGUAGGCGGUUCUAUAAGUUAGGUGUGAAAGUCCUGGGCUUAACCUGGGGAUUGCGCCUGAUACUGUGUAGCUAGAGUCCUGUAGAGGAAAGUGGAAUUUCCGGUGUAGCGGUGAAAUGCGUAGAUAUCGGAAGGAACAUCGGUGGCGAAGGCGACUUUCUGGACAGAGACUGACACUGAGGCACGAAAGCAUGGGGAGCAAACAGG